CGCAACGCCGCGUGAGUGAUGAAGGGCCUUACGGGUCGUAAAGCUCUGUCAAGUGGGAAGAACCUGCCUUGUGAUAAUACCACGAGGCACUGACGGUACCACUGAAGGAAGCACCGGCUAACUCCGUGCCAGCAGCCGCGGUAAUACGGGGGGUGCUAGCGUUAUUCGGAAUCAUUGGGCGUAAAGGGCGCGUAGGCGGUCUCUUAAGUCAGAUGUGAAAGCCCUCGGCUUAACCGAGGAAGUGCAUUUGAAACUAAGGGACUUGAGUAUGGGAGAGGGAAGCGGAAUUCCUGGUGUAGCGGUGAAAUGCGUAGAUAUCAGGAGGAACACCGGUGGCGAAGGCGGCUUCCUGGACCAAUACUGACGCUGAGGCGCGAAGGCGUGGGGAGCAAACAGGAUUAGAUACCCUGGUAGUCCACGCAGUAAACGGUGAACACUAGGUGUAGCGGGUAUUGACCCCUGCUGUGCCGAAGCUAACGCAUUAAGUGUUCCGCCUGGGAAGUACGGCCGCAAGGUUA
This 518-nucleotide ribosomal RNA is filed under the name uncultured Pseudomonadota bacterium. Its description in RNAcentral is "bacterial SSU rRNA". It matches the Rfam family "Bacterial small subunit ribosomal RNA", at positions 390 to 896 of the family's 1533-position model. The record is from RNAcentral. Lineage: Bacteria; Pseudomonadati; Pseudomonadota.